CCUACGGGAGGCAGCAGUAGGGAAUAUUGCUCAAUGGGGGGAACCCUGAAGCAGCAACGCCGCGUGGAGGAUGAAGGUUUUCGGAUUGUAAACUCCUUUUGUUAGAGAAGAUAAUGACGGUAUCUAACGAAUAAGCACCGGCUAACUACGUGCCAGCAGCCGCGGUAAUACGGAGGGUGCAAGCGUUACUCGGAUUCACUGGGCGUAAAGAGCGCGUAGGCGGGAUGGCAAGUCAGAUGUGAAAUCGUAUGGCUUAACCAUAGAACUGCAUUUUAAACUGUUAUUCUAGAGUAUGGGAGAGGUAGGUGGAAUUCGUGGUGUAGGGGUGAAAUGCGUAGAGAUCAAGAAGAAUACUGAUUGCGAAGGCAGCCGGCUAGAACAUAACUGACGCUGAUGCGCGAAAGCGUGGGGAGCAAACAGGAUUAGAUACCCCAGUAGUC
This 440-nucleotide ribosomal RNA is filed under the name uncultured bacterium. RNAcentral's name for it is "partial 16S ribosomal RNA". It matches the Rfam family "Bacterial small subunit ribosomal RNA", at positions 338 to 795 of the family's 1533-position model. The record is from RNAcentral.